RNAcentral lists this ribosomal RNA (433 nucleotides) under uncultured bacterium. RNAcentral's name for it is "partial 16S ribosomal RNA". It matches the Rfam family "Bacterial small subunit ribosomal RNA", at positions 29 to 507 of the family's 1533-position model. The record is from RNAcentral.
AACGAACGCUGGCGGCAUGCCUAACACAUGCCAGUCGAACGAGACCUUCGGGUCUAGUGGCGCACGGGUGUGUAACGCGUGGGAACCUGCCCUUAGGUUCGGAAUAACUCCCCGAAAGGGGUGCUAAUACCGGAUAAUGUCUUCGGACCAAAGAUUUAUCGCCUUUGGAUGGGCCCGCGUUGGAUUAGCUAGUUGGUAGGGUAAAAGCCUACCAAGGCGACGAUCCAUAGCUGGUCUGAGAGGAUGAUCAGCCACACUGGGACUGAGACACGGCCCAGACUCCUACGGGAGGCAGCAGUGGGGAAUAUUGGACAAUGGGCGAAAGCCUGAUCCAGCAAUGCCGCGUGAGUGAUGAAGGCCUUAGGGUUGUAAAGCUCUUUUACCCGGGAUGAUAAUGACAGUACCGGGAGAAUAAGCUCCGGCUAACUCCGUG